UACGAAGGGGGCUAGCGUUGCUCGGAAUCACUGGGCGUAAAGCGCACGUAGGCGGAUUGCCAAGUCAGGGGUGAAAUCCUGGAGCUCAACUCCAGAACUGCCUUUGAUACUGGAGAGCUUGAGUCCGGAAGAGGUGAGUGGAACUCCGAGUGUAGAGGUGAAAUUCGUAGAUAUUCGGAAGAACACCAGUGGCGAAGGCGGCUCACUGGUCCGGUACUGACGCUGAGGUGCGAAAGCGUGGGGAGCAAACAGG
RNAcentral lists this ribosomal RNA (253 nucleotides) under uncultured bacterium. RNAcentral's name for it is "partial 16S ribosomal RNA". It matches the Rfam family "Bacterial small subunit ribosomal RNA", at positions 524 to 776 of the family's 1533-position model. The record is from RNAcentral.